Sphaeramia orbicularis (orbiculate cardinalfish) is the source of this 315-nucleotide long non-coding RNA. RefSeq lists it as uncharacterized. NCBI's taxonomy places the organism in Eukaryota, Metazoa, Chordata, Actinopteri, Kurtiformes, Apogonidae. The transcript is spliced from 3 exons. The record is from RefSeq and is a predicted model, not a curated record.
AUAAAUUGGCAAAAACUCUAAUGUUAGAUAACACUGGGGAACAAUUUGAAAAAAAAAAUUCUGUUGAGUUAGAUUUUUAUGCUGAUUAAAACUAAAAUUGGCAUGCUGAUUCCAAAAUUGCAGUCAGUUUUUUUCUAGCACGUCAAGUUUUUCCUCCACAGCUUACCCUCCAAAUAAGCAAAAUUCCACUGAUUAGCUGUAGUAAGACUUGCCAGCUGAUUACGAUUGGACUCAUCUACAGCUUCGUGGCAACUUGUUUGCGCAGUCACAAUUGAGACAGUGCGGUGAGAGGUGUGUGCAGCUAACAAUAGGUCA